AUUGAACGCUGGCGGCAGGCCUAACACAUGCAAGUCGAGCGGAUGAAGGGAGCUUGCUCCUGGAUUCAGCGGCGGACGGGUGAGUAAUGCCUAGGAAUCUGCCUGAUAGUGGGGGAUAACGUCCGGAAACGGGCGCUAAUACCGCAUACGUCCUGAGGGAGAAAGUGGGGGAUCUUCGGACCUCACGCUAUCAGAUGAGCCUAGGUCGGAUUAGCUAGUUGGUGGGGUAAAGGCCUACCAAGGCGACGAUCCGUAACUGGUCUGAGAGGAUGAUCAGUCACACUGGAACUGAGACACGGUCCAGACUCCUACGGGAGGCAGCAGUGGGGAAUAUUGGACAAUGGGCGAAAGCCUGAUCCAGCCAUGCCGCGUGUGUGAAGAAGGUCUUCGGAUUGUAAAGCACUUUAAGUUGGGAGGAAGGGCAGUAAGUUAAUACCUUGCUGUUUUAACGUUACCAACAGAAUAAGCACCGGCUAACUUCGUG
This 484-nucleotide ribosomal RNA is filed under the name uncultured bacterium. Its description in RNAcentral is "partial 16S ribosomal RNA". It matches the Rfam family "Bacterial small subunit ribosomal RNA", at positions 30 to 507 of the family's 1533-position model. The record is from RNAcentral.